Non-coding RNA from Chlorocebus sabaeus (green monkey), 1441 nucleotides. Lineage: Eukaryota; Metazoa; Chordata; Mammalia; Primates; Cercopithecidae. The record is from RefSeq and is a predicted model, not a curated record.
UGUAUGGUUACACUGCCCAAAAUCCCAGUUUCUUUCUAAAACUAGUGUUACAGCUCUUUUACUCCUGUAGUUCAACAAGUUCCGAGUUCUUGUACCACGACUGAGAAGAAUGAGGUACACAGACACCAGAAAGUGAGUAAGGCAGAAUAGAAUUUAUUGAGCAACAGAAAUGCUCUUGACGGUGAGAGGGGACCUGAAGGUGGGUUGCCAGCCAUGAGGCUAAGUCUAGGGAUAUUUAUGGGCUUGAAAUGGGGAAGUGCAUGCUGGUUGGUCUGUGGGUAUGUUUGAAAAAGCACCAUUCAGAAAUAGGCACAAUAAUGUAGAGGACCUACUGGGGAAGGAUAUGCAUACGUAAAAUAGGUGAAGGAAAAGGACCAAUUUGGAGAGAGCAUGCCAAACGGAAAUGGGAGCUCUCAGUCUGGUUUGUGGAUUUACACUUUGGUUUUCAGGUUUUAGAUUGUCCUUGGCUUGAAGGUUGAGUUUCCCUGGGGAUCCAUCCCUUUCUGCCUAGGAAUUUACCUGCUGUGGUGAUGGUGGUUCUGUAGCCACUGCAGAGGAUGGGAUAAAGUUCUGAAAGCCUAAAAGCUGACUCGCACUGCAGCCUGCCACUUUGGUUCUAUCUUGUAAGCUUCCUUCCCAAUAACUGAAUGGGGCCCACUGUUACCAACUCUUGCUUCCAUUAAACUUGUUCUGACAGCCUUACUGAACAAGCCAGUGAUUCUGCUGGCCCAGUCUGUGCAACUCUGGUAGUUGCAUGAAGCUUGUGGUGGUGACCAGAAUUCCUCUUCUUUUCAGCACAUCACUACCUUCUGCUGGCUGUGCAAUGCUCUCCAUCCUACAGGACUCACAUCCAGAGUAUCUGCCUGGAAACCCUGUUGCCUGGAGACCACUUUUGAAGAACAUCCACUGCUGUGGCCUCUUAAAGAUUUAAGACAUCUAAUGAAGAGCUGACAGAAAUCAUCAAUUUGCUCCUCAGCAAGUGAUAUUUUUAAGUCACAAUAAAACACUUACCUGGAUAUUAUGUAUUCAGAUAAUCAUAAUAGCUCAAGUAUAGGAUGCAAAGGGGAACAAUACCUUUGAAAAAUUUGAAUUGUACAAAUCCAUACAAAAGAGAGAUGGGACAAAAAAUAAAAUCCGCAUUUUCUUCAUGGAAGACGCUGUCAGCCCAAAGGAAUUUUGAAGCAGAAAUUCAACAAAUGGCAUAAGGAUACUGGAAAACUGGAUGAAAGGAGAUACGAUGCAGCCAAAAGAAUUCCAUAUCAACUUGAAGCAUUCUGGAGAGGGUUCAAGAAUCCAGCAUAUCUUAACAAGGUCCAAGUAUCUCACAGUAUGAUGGCAGAAUUUGUCACCAGUAACAGACACCAAGUACAAAUGAUUAUUAUUUUAUUUUACUCUUUGUUUUUUAUUUAUUUAUUUAUUUUUGAGACAGAAUCUCACCCUG